Molecule: non-coding RNA, 415 nt
Organism: Meriones unguiculatus (Mongolian gerbil)
Lineage: Eukaryota; Metazoa; Chordata; Mammalia; Rodentia; Muridae
Source: the annotation of a RefSeq genome assembly
CUCUGCAGAGUCACUGGCUACACUGUCCCUCAGGAUGGAAUGGAGCUGGGUCAUCCUCUUCCUCCUGUCAGUAACUGCAGGUGUCCACUCCCAGGUCCAGCUGCAGCAGCCUGAGUCAGAGGUGGGGAGACCUGGGUCCUCAGUGAGGCUGUCCUGCAAGGCUUCUGGAUUCACCUUCACUGAUCAUGCUGUGCACUGGGUGAAGCAGAGUCCUGGGCAGGGGCUGGAGUGGAUUGGAUGGAUUUAUCCUGGAAGUGGUAAUACUGGCUAUAACCAGAAGUUCCGGGGCAAGGCCACACUGACUGUAGACACAUCCUCCAGCACAGCCCACAUGGAGCUCCGCAGCCUGACAGCUGAGGACUCUGCGGUCUAUUACUGUGCGAGAGAUGCACACAGUGCUGCACCCACAUCCUGA